RNAcentral lists this ribosomal RNA (58 nucleotides) under Bacteroides ovatus. RNAcentral's name for it is "partial 23S ribosomal RNA". Lineage: Bacteria; Pseudomonadati; Bacteroidota; Bacteroidia; Bacteroidales; Bacteroidaceae. The record is from RNAcentral. RNAcentral also lists the same sequence under 1 other name.
AGGUGUAAAGGUGGUAACAUCAAAGCCGAGCAUUACUAAUUGCCCGUUCACUUUCUUU